Non-coding RNA from Schizosaccharomyces pombe (fission yeast), 739 nucleotides. NCBI's taxonomy places the organism in Eukaryota, Fungi, Ascomycota, Schizosaccharomycetes, Schizosaccharomycetales, Schizosaccharomycetaceae. The record is from the annotation of a GenBank genome assembly.
AAAAAUCUGUUAGCUAGAUCAUUGAAUUGCUACAAUUUCACAAAUUUUCAUUUUUCUAGCAAUUGGAAAUCGAAGCGUAGUUCAAUACCUAUUAUCUUUAAUUUACUAGUAUCUCUCGAUAUUUGUCAUUUACUUUACUUCAAUUAUUAUUCUGCGAUAUUAAGGCGAUGAUGAUACAAAUUUUUGCAAUAGGGAUAUAUUAUCAUCAUUAAUGUUUUUAAUGUAAAUCUUUACAUCUGCACUACCGAUUCGGCUUAUCUACUUGAGAGGUUUGUACAUUUUUGAUCCUUCAAUGAGGGAGCCCUCCUCAAGUCGCUAACAAUGUUUUUAAAGCAAAAUUAGUGCCAUUGAUGGCAUAGCGCAAACAUCUCUACUAAUAAAAUCGAAAAUUUUCAUUGCAUGAGCCCAUGUCCACUUCAUCUUUUUGUCGUUUGUGACUCUUUACUGCGUUUUGUAGAAUCGCUGUAUUUUUAACCAUAACUCCUAUAUUGUUUUUGACCAAAUCAUAGAAUGAGCUAGACGUGCUGAAAAGUUGUACUAAAUCUUAUAAUUGUUAUACUCUCGUUUUUCCCCGGAAACAGCCGAUUCUCCUUCCUUUCUCGAAAUGGACAUUUUCUUUUUAUUAAAUACUUUAGUGGACAUCCCGUUCAUCUUUGUUUGUAUGUUUCCCAAUUAAUAUCUAACUUUUUGGUCAACAGAGCAAUUGAUUUCCAGGUUUCACAGUCUUUUUCAUCAUUUC